This 442-nucleotide ribosomal RNA is filed under the name uncultured bacterium. RNAcentral describes it as "partial 16S ribosomal RNA". It matches the Rfam family "Bacterial small subunit ribosomal RNA", at positions 338 to 795 of the family's 1533-position model. The record is from RNAcentral.
CCUACGUGAGGCAGCAGUGGGGAAUAUUGGUCAAUGGGCGCGAGCCUGACCCAGCAACGCCGCGUGAAGGAAGAAGUCUUUCGGGUUGUAAACUUCUUUUACUCGGGAAGCGCAGAAGACGUUACCUCUUGAAUAAGCCACGGCUAACUACGUGCCAGCAGCCCCGGUAAUACGUCGGUGGCAAGCGUUGUCCUGAUUUACUGGUUGUAAAGGGCGUGUAGCCGGGCUGACAAGUCAGAUGGUAAAUCUGGGGGCUCAACCCCCGAACUGCAUUUGAAACUGUUUGUCUUGAGUAGAGGAGAGGAAGGCGGAAUGCGUGGUGUAGCGGUGAAAUGCGUAGAGAGUAGGAGGAACACCAGUGGCGAAGGCGGCAUGCUGGACGACAACUGACGGUGAGGCGCGAAAGCGUGGGGAGCAAACAGGAUUAGAUACCCUUGUAGUC